This 717-nucleotide ribosomal RNA is filed under the name uncultured Bacilli bacterium. RNAcentral describes it as "bacterial SSU rRNA". It matches the Rfam family "Bacterial small subunit ribosomal RNA", at positions 59 to 747 of the family's 1533-position model. Lineage: Bacteria; Bacillati; Bacillota; Bacilli. The record is from RNAcentral.
AAGUCGAACGCUUUUUCUUUCACCGGAGCUUGCUCCACCGAAAGAAAAGGAGUGGCGAACGGGUGAGUAACACGUGGGUAACCUGCCCAUCAGAAGGGGAUAACACUUGGAAACAGGUGCUAAUACCGUAUAACAAUCGAAACCGCAUGGUUUCGGUUUGAAAGGCGCUUUUGCGUCACUGAUGGAUGGACCCGCGGUGCAUUAGCUAGUUGGUGAGGUAACGGCUCACCAAGGCAACGAUGCAUAGCCGACCUGAGAGGGUGAUCGGCCACAUUGGGACUGAGACACGGCCCAAACUCCUACGGGAGGCAGCAGUAGGGAAUCUUCGGCAAUGGACGGAAGUCUGACCGAGCAACGCCGCGUGAGUGAAGAAGGUUUUCGGAUCGUAAAACUCUGUUGUUAGAGAAGAACAAGGAUGAGAGUAGAAUGUUCAUCCCUUGACGGUAUCUAACCAGAAAGCCACGGCUAACUACGUGCCAGCAGCCGCGGUAAUACGUAGGUGGCAAGCGUUGUCCGGAUUUAUUGGGCGUAAAGCGAGCGCAGGCGGUUUCUUAAGUCUGAUGUGAAAGCCCCCGGCUCAACNCGGGGAGGGUCAUUGGAAACUGGGAAACUUGAGUGCAGAAGAGGAGAGUGGAAUUCCAUGUGUAGCGGUGAAAUGCGUAGAUAUAUGGAGGAACACCAGUGGCGAAGGCGGCUCUCUGGUCUGUAACUGACGCU